GAUGAACGCUGACAGAAUGCUUAACACAUGCAAGUCAACUUGAACUUCGGUUUGGGUGGCGGACGGGUGAGUAACGCGUAAAGAACUUGCCUCACAGAUAGGGACAACAUUUGGAAACGAAUGCUAAUACCUGAUAUUAUGAUUAUAUGGCAUCGUAUAAUUAUGAAAGCUAUAUGCGCUGUGAGAGAGCUUUGCGUCCCAUUAGCUAGUUGGAGAGGUAACGGCUCACCAAGGCGAUGAUGGGUAGCCGGCCUGAGAGGGUGAUCGGCCACAAGGGGACUGAGACACGGCCCUUACUCCUACGGGAGGCAGCAGUGGGGAAUAUUGGACAAUGGACCAAGAGUCUGAUCCAGCAAUUCUGUGUGCACGAUGAAGUUUUUCGGAAUGUAAAGUGCUUUCAGUUGGGAAGAAAAAAAUGACGGUACCAACAGAAGAAGCGACGGCUAAAUACGUG
This 454-nucleotide ribosomal RNA is filed under the name uncultured bacterium. Its description in RNAcentral is "partial 16S ribosomal RNA". It matches the Rfam family "Bacterial small subunit ribosomal RNA", at positions 28 to 507 of the family's 1533-position model. The record is from RNAcentral.